RNAcentral lists this ribosomal RNA (456 nucleotides) under uncultured soil bacterium. RNAcentral's name for it is "bacterial SSU rRNA". It matches the Rfam family "Bacterial small subunit ribosomal RNA", at positions 26 to 489 of the family's 1533-position model. The record is from RNAcentral.
AGAAUCAACGCUGGCGGCGCGCUUAACACAUGCAAGUCGAACGAGAAAGGGGAGCAAUCCCUGAGUAAAGUGGCGUACGGGUGAGUAACACGUGGGUCAUCCACUCUUUGGUGGGAAUAACCCUGGGAAACCGGGGCUAAUACCGCAUAAGCCCUUUGUUGAAAGAUAGAGGGGAAAGGUGCAAAUCGCCGAAGGAGGAGCCCGCGGCUGAUUAGCUAGUUGGUGGGUAAAAGCUCACCAAGGCGAAGAUCGGUAGCCGGCCUGAGAGGGCACGACGGACCGACGACUGGCACUGAAACACGGGCCAGACUCCUACGGGAGGCAGCAGUGGGGAAUCUUGGCACGAAUGGGGGCAACCCGUGAUGCAGCGACGCCGACGUGAGCGAUGAAGCCCGUUCGGGGUGUAAAGGCUUCGUUUCGGGCACGGAACGAUAAGUGACGGUACCUGAAGAAGAA